AUUGAACGCUGGCGGAAUGCUUUACACAUGCAAGUCGAACGGCAGCAUAGGUGCUUGCACCUGAUGGCGAGUGGCGAACGGGUGAGUAAUACAUCGGAACGUGCCCAGUCGUGGGGGAUAACGUAGCGAAAGUUACGCUAAUACCGCAUACGAUCUACGGAUGAAAGCGGGGGGCCGUAAGGCCUCGCGCGAUUGGAGCGGCCGAUGUCAGAUUAGGUAGUUGAUGGGGUAAAGGCCCACCAAGCCAACGAUCUGUAGCUGGUCUGAGAGGACGACCAGCCACACUGGGACUGAGACACGGCCCAGACUCCUACGGGAGGCAGCAGUGGGGAAUUUUGGACAAUGGGCGCAAGCCUGAUCCAGCCAUUCCGCGUGCAGGAUGAAGGCCUUCGGGUUGUAAACUGCUUUUGUACGGAACGAAAAGCUCUGGGUUAAUACCCCGGGGUCAUGACGGUACCGUAAGAAUAAGCACCGGCUAACUACGUGCCAGCAGCCGCAGUAA
Molecule: ribosomal RNA, 502 nt
Filed under: uncultured bacterium
Lineage: Bacteria
Description: partial 16S ribosomal RNA
Rfam family: Bacterial small subunit ribosomal RNA
Source: RNAcentral